UACAGAGGUCUCAAGCGUUGUUCGGAUUCAUUGGGCGUAAAGGGUGCGUAGGUGGCUUGGUAAGUCGGAUGUGAAAUCCCGGGGCUCAACCCCGGAACUGCAUUCGAUACUGCCGGGCUGGAGUACUGGAGAGGAGAUUGGAAUUUACGGUGUAGCAGUGAAAUGCGUAGAUAUCGUAAGGAAGACCAGUGGCGAAGGCGGAUCUCUGGACAGUUACUGACACUGAGGCACGAAGGCCAGGGGAGCAAACGGG
This 253-nucleotide ribosomal RNA is filed under the name uncultured bacterium. RNAcentral describes it as "partial 16S ribosomal RNA". It matches the Rfam family "Bacterial small subunit ribosomal RNA", at positions 524 to 776 of the family's 1533-position model. The record is from RNAcentral.